This 515-nucleotide ribosomal RNA is filed under the name uncultured bacterium. RNAcentral's name for it is "bacterial SSU rRNA". It matches the Rfam family "Bacterial small subunit ribosomal RNA", at positions 349 to 857 of the family's 1533-position model. The record is from RNAcentral.
CAGCAGUGGGGAAUUUUGGACAAUGGGCGCAAGCCUGAUCCAGCCAUGCCGCGUGCAGGAUGAAGGCCUUCGGGUUGUAAACUGCUUUUGUACGGAACGAAAAGACUCCUUCUAAUAAAGGGGGUCCAUGACGGUACCGUAAGAAUAAGCACCGGCUAACUACGUGCCAGCAGCCGCGGUAAUACGUAGGGUGCGAGCGUUAAUCGGAAUUACUGGGCGUAAAGCGUGCGCAGGCGGUUAUAUAAGACAGAUGUGAAAUCCCCGGGCUCAACCUGGGAACUGCAUUUGUGACUGUAUAGCUAGAGUACGGUAGAGGGGGAUGGAAUUCCGCGUGUAGCAGUGAAAUGCGUAGAUAUGCGGAGGAACACCGAUGGCGAAGGCAAUCCCCUGGACCUGUACUGACGCUCAUGCACGAAAGCGUGGGGAGCAAACAGGAUUAGAUACCCUGGUAGUCCACGCCCUAAACGAUGUCAACUGGUUGUUGGGUCUUCACUGACUCAGUAACGAAGCUAACG